AUUGAACGCUGGCGGCAUGCUUUACACAUGCAAGUCGAACGGUAACAGGCCGCAAGGUGCUGACGAGUGGCGAACGGGUGAGUAAUGCAUCGGAACGUGCCCAGUCGUGGGGGAUAACUACUCGAAAGAGUAGCUAAUACCGCAUACGAUCUAUGGAUGAAAGCGGGGGACCGUAAGGCCUCGCGCGAUUGGAGCGGCCGAUGUCAGAUUAGGUAGUUGGUGGGGUAAAGGCUCACCAAGCCAACGAUCUGUAGCUGGUCUGAGAGGACGACCAGCCACACGGGGACGGGAACACGCCCCAGACCCCUACGGGGGGCAGCGGGGGGGAAUUUUGGAAAAUGGGCGAAACCCUGAUCCAGCAAUGCCGCGGGGAGGAAGAAGGCCUUCGGGUUGUAAACUGUUUUUGUACGGAACGAAAGUGCUCUGGUUAAUCCCCGGGGCUAAUGACGGUACCUAAAGAAUAAACACCGGCUAACUACGG
Molecule: ribosomal RNA, 481 nt
Filed under: uncultured bacterium
Lineage: Bacteria
Description: partial 16S ribosomal RNA
Rfam family: Bacterial small subunit ribosomal RNA
Source: RNAcentral